This 731-nucleotide ribosomal RNA is filed under the name uncultured Campylobacter sp. RNAcentral describes it as "bacterial SSU rRNA". It matches the Rfam family "Bacterial small subunit ribosomal RNA", at positions 28 to 776 of the family's 1533-position model. The record is from RNAcentral. Lineage: Bacteria; Pseudomonadati; Campylobacterota; Epsilonproteobacteria; Campylobacterales; Campylobacteraceae.
AGUGAACGCUGGCGGCGUGCCUAAUACAUGCAAGUCGAACGGAGAUUAAGUAGCUUGCUAUUUAAUCUUAGUGGCGCACGGGUGAGUAAUAUAUAGCUAACUUGCCCAUUACUAAGGGACAACAGUUGGAAACGACUGCUAAUACCUUAUACUCCGUAUCUAUAUAAGUAAAUACGGGAAAGUUUUUCGGUAAUGGAUAGGGCUAUAUCGUAUCAGCUAGUUGGUAAGGUAACGGCUUACCAAGGCUAUGACGCGUAACUGGUCUGAGAGGAUGAUCAGUCACACUGGAACUGAGACACGGUCCAGACUCCUACGGGAGGCAGCAGUAGGGAAUAUUGCUCAAUGGGGGAAACCCUGAAGCAGCAACGCCGCGUGGAGGAUGACACUUUUCGGAGCGUAAACUCCUUUUCUUGGGAAAGAAUUAUGACGGUACCCAAGGAAUAAGCACCGGCUAACUCCGUGCCAGCAGCCGCGGUAAUACGGAGGGUGCAAGCGUUACUCGGAAUCACUGGGCGUAAAGGACGCGUAGGCGGAUUAUCAAGUCUCUUGUGAAAUCUAACGGCUUAACCGUUAAACUGCUUGGGAAACUGAUAAUCUAGAGUAAGGGAGAGGCAGAUGGAAUUCUUGGUGUAGGGGUAAAAUCCGUAGAGAUCAAGAAGAAUACCCAUUGCGAAAGCGAUCUGCUGGAACUUAACUGACGCUAAUGCGUGAAAGCGUGGGGAGCAAACAGG